UACGGGGGGGGCAAGCGUUGUUCGGAAUUACUGGGCGUAAAGGGCUCGUAGGUGGCCAACUAAGUCAGACGUGAAAUCCCUCAGCUUAACUGGGGAACUGCGUCUGAUACUGGAUGGCUUGGAUUCGGGAGAGGAAUGCGGAAUUCCAGGUGUAGCGGUGAAAUGCGUAGAUAUCUGGGGGAACACCGGUGGCGAAGGCGGCAUUCUGGACCGAUAUUGACGCUGAGGAGCGAAAGCCAGGGGAGCAAACGGG
This 253-nucleotide ribosomal RNA is filed under the name uncultured bacterium. RNAcentral describes it as "partial 16S ribosomal RNA". It matches the Rfam family "Bacterial small subunit ribosomal RNA", at positions 524 to 776 of the family's 1533-position model. The record is from RNAcentral.